UUCUUCUUCUUUUCUCUCAACCGAGAGAAACAAAACUCACCCCAUUUUGCUCAGCCGAGAGCCAUUCAACACCUAGCCGCAGGCCAAUGUAAAUUGAUGGCCAUCUAUUCUUCUGACCAUCGUCGGUGAUGGUCAAAACUCUUAAACUUAGACCAAUCUCGGCCUAAACAAACCGAAAUCCCUCCCAAUUCGAACUUGGAACCCCGAUUUGGGGGUUUUAAAAUACUAAAACUCUCUCCUUCAAGCUCUUACUCGUGAGGAGCACCCCCUCACCAACCUGUAAAAAGGUUAAGGACCUAAGCACUCUAACGACACAUACUCUGAAGAAGGAACCUAAAUGGUCGAUAUCUAUUGGAUAGAGGAUCAGCUGUUGUUGUUGGGACGUGAAACAAGGGAGUCCACGGGUAAAGCUGCCGGCGACAUGGAGCUGCUAGAGGCCAUGAGUGGAGCUGGGGUACUGGUAGCUGCUGUGAGGAGCGUGGAACCAGCUGGGUUGGUGGAAGCUGCUGGAGAGUUGCUGAAACGUGGAGAGACAGCUGGUGAGGAGAGGGGUUGAGCUGGAGAUAAAAAUGUUGAUUACAUGUGGGUAAUCAAGAAAUUGUUCAAGGUGAUUCUCAUGAUUUGUGGUCAUGAGAUCAAAUAUCUGUUGGACGAGUCUGCUCUGAUCCCUCCUCAGACGAUGAUUGAUGAAAAUGGUAAGUUAAUUAUAAAUCAGGAUUUUCGUGUUCAUAAGAAGCAAGACAGUUCUCAUACCUCCUGGCUUUAAUCAAUCGUUAGCCCUUCGAUUCUUCCUCAAUUGAUUGGGUCAGAGACUUCAACAGCCAUAUGGAGUUUUGUUUUGAAGAUGUAUUCUAAGCUAACAACAACAAAGUUUAUGAACCUCCAUUGUUGGCUUCGAUCGCUCAAGAAGGGAGAGCAAACGAUUCGUGAGUACUUUACGAAGAACAAAGAGAUCUGUGAUCUGCUUGCCACAAUUGGAAGUCCGAUCUCAGAAGUUGAGCAGAUUGUUACACUGUUAAAUGACCUUCCGCCUUAGUUUAAACCAUUUGUUGCUACGAUUACGGUGAGUCGUGAAUUGUAUACCUUUGAUAUUGUAACUUUUGUGAUCAUUGAUGCAGAGUCUCACAUUCGUUAUCCUCUGAGGAUGUCAAUUUGUAUCAAUUUGGCUCGUCAUCAUCGUGAUGAUAAUUUGAGAAGGAAUCAUGAUCGAGGAAAUGUUGAUCGUCGUUACCCUGAGGUUCGUUCUGGCCACAAGCGCACUAAGGAUCUGACAUGUGGUAAGUUCAAGGGUCGUCCCAAACAUCAGUGUCAAUUAUGUGGGAAACUUGGGCAUCUCUUUGAAAGAUGUUGGCACAGAUUUUAUCAGGAUUUCAAAGGAGUUGGGUCACAACGACCUCGUUCCAAUAGUGAAGUUUAAGUCAAUGUUUGCAAAUACAAGUUUGAUUCUUCUGAUGUGUGUUACAAUCAUUUUUUGUGAGUCCAUCUGUAGGUACUGUUGGGUCUAAUGAAGUGGCUAGUGAUAAUAAUGCCCAAAUUAACUCUCUCAUUACAAAGGGUGUAGUUCGAUUAAUGGUAAUUGGUUUCCAGACUCAGGUGCAACUCAUCAUGUCACCUUUGAACGGCUGGUUACUUCUUCAUGUUGUCAAUACACGGGUGCAAGUAAGGUGGAUCUUGGUGAUGGACCCAUUUUAGAUAUUUCUCAUGUUGGAAAACACUGUGUUACUAGCUAAUUCAUGUUCUUUAAAGCUUGAUAAUGUGCUUUUUAUUCCUCAAAUUACGAGAAAUUUGUUGUUUGUCUCUGUAUUCACUCUGGAUAAUAAUGUGUUUUUAAAGUUUCAUUCUAAUAAAUGUUUUGUGAAGGAUAAAGAAACUUGUAAGGUCUAGCUGUAAGGUAAAGUGAUUGAUUGUUUGUAUUGAUUUUCUUAUGUCUCUGAUCCUUGUGGCUCGCUUAAUCAACUUACUGUUACAUCAACCGUAUCACCUUCUGCAUCAUCUCCUACAUCAUGUGAUAAAUAUGUCAAUAGUUAGUGGUUGUGGCAUAGGAGUCUUAGCCAUCCUUCUUGCACUGUUAUGCAAUACUUGUUCAAUAAAAUUCCUCUUGAUGUGUCUGACGUUUGUAGUGCAUGUCAAUUAGGAAAAAGUCAUAGACAACCAUUUCAUAUGUCACCCACUGUGUAUAGUCAUCCAUUUGAACUUGUUGAAGCUUAUGUGUGGGGUGAUGCCCCUAUUAAGUCUAAUGGCUGGCAAUAUUAUGUGUCAUUUGUCAAUAUGUACAAAAAUUGUUGGGUAUACUUGUUGAGAACUAAAUCGGAUGUUUCGCAUGCAUUUACUAUGUUUCAUGCAAUUGUUAAAAAUCAAUUUCAGUAUAAUAUUUCAUCUCUUCAGACUGAUGGUGGAAGAGAGUUUUAGGCGAUAGCUAACAAUUUGGCAGCCUCGGGUAUUCAACGUCGAUUGUCUUUCCCUCUUAUGUUGCAAUAUAAUAGCGUUGUUGAAUGCAAGCAUCGUUAUAUAAUAAAUAAGGUCUUGACAUUGCUUGCAGAAUCGUCGGUUCCAAUUUAGUCUUAUGUUGUUCUCACGGCUAUUAUCUUGAUCAACAGGUUACCUACGAUUGUUCUUUGGGGUAUUUUGCCUUUUCAAAAAUUAUAUGGGAAAGAGCCUGACUAUCGUUUGCUUCUUGUAUUUAGGAGUCAGUGCUAUCCUUGCUUUCGGUCAUUGAACAAACAUAAGUUUGAGUUUUGGUCUAAACCAUGUGUGUUUCUUAAGUAAUCUCCUUGGCAUUGAGGUUACCAAUCUCUUGACAGUACUGGGCGUGUUUAUAUUUCAUGCAAUGUUUGCUUUAAUGAACAAUGUUUUCCUUUUGAUAAGAAAUGUGCAGGGGAUAUUGUUUGUACAAUAAAAGGCAAGGCAUCAUCUACUGGUUUUAUGCCUUUCCCUGUUCGAGUUGUGUCUUGUCCUGACAACCAGAAUAGAGGUGCACCUCAACAGUGUGUGUCGUCACCUGCUGCAGUUGAUUGUGUCAAUGAAUCCGUUUGUGACACUGCUACUCUUAAAGCUAAUGAUACCGCUGUUUUUUCUUGUAUUGCAUAUUCUAAUGAGCAAUUGGUGCAGAGUUCACAUAAUGACAGUAGGGUUGUGAUCGAGGAGCAACAGGGGUCUUUCUCGUGGGUGGUGUAGAAGGAUGUGGAAGCUGCUGAUCCGAUGGUGUCCAAUGGUGUGCCAGUAACCAAUAAGAACUCCAUGGUCACGAGAAGUAAGACAGGGAUGAAUAAGACCGAAGUUUAUCAAAUUUCUGUUAUUGAUAAUCCUUUAAAUAUGAAGAGUGCAUUGCAAGAUAAACAGUGGAGUAAAGUUGUUCAUUCGAACUUUGUUGCUAUAAUUGCUAAUAAUACCUAGGAUUUGGUUGAGUUACCUCCAGAUAGAAAGGCCAUUGGGUGUAAGUGUUUGUAAUACC
Long non-coding RNA from Hibiscus syriacus, 3451 nucleotides. RefSeq lists it as uncharacterized. The transcript has 3 exons. The record is from RefSeq and is a predicted model, not a curated record. Lineage: Eukaryota; Viridiplantae; Streptophyta; Magnoliopsida; Malvales; Malvaceae.